Molecule: long non-coding RNA, 968 nt
Organism: Alosa sapidissima (American shad)
Lineage: Eukaryota; Metazoa; Chordata; Actinopteri; Clupeiformes; Clupeidae
Exons: 3
Source: RefSeq, a predicted model, not a curated record
UUUUUAUUAGUAGGCUAUUUGUUAACUUUGUAUUCUGAUUGUUUCUACAUUUCAGUGCAUGGUGAUAUACUUAACAGGGCUGAGAGUGAUCGUGCUUCUGAAGCCACACCACCGGUUCUAUCUGAUGAUAAUCAGGUCAUCAGAGACUCCGACACAACAGAGUCCAUUCUGCUUGGCGAACACGAAUUGGAUAUACCGAUCGGGGUGGCUGAAGUGGAGGUCACAACAAGUAGCCCCGCUGCAUCUACAGACGCUACAGCGGGGGUAUCAUCCGACGUCCGUAUCCAUCACAAAGCAGCUGAGAAGUGUCGUCAUUGCGAUGUUGAAGAAGAUCUAACCGAAACUGGGGGGUCUGCUAAGCGGCUAUAUGUGGGUGUUCAAGAAACGAUUGACCUGACUACAACGGAUGACGCGAUAGGCCUUGGAGACGCAUCUAUCAACAACGGGGUUACUUAUUCAAAGGACUAUCGACCUAUUGUCAAGACUCAAUCUGAGGAUAUUAACCGCACGGAUUUAUGGACUGAUACACAACUUGAAGCAUGGGAUAUUAAUGGAACAGAUUUUGAUGAUAUAUCUGACGGGGAUAUACUAAACGCUGUGGAAGCCAUCGAAUCCUGUUAAGUUCAUAAAAGGUCAGUUUUAACGGUUGUUGAUGACUUGGGGUCGGCUGGGCCCUCUGUAAGUAAUGCAGUGUGUGAUGUAAACUCAGGUCACUAUAAGUACACAGAUACAGAAUUAGCCUUGGAUACUGUUGUGUUGAUGCUAAAUGAUGUUAAGGCAAAAUGUGGUGAGCGUUUAAUACACACAUGACUCCUAGUGCUACCGGGAUAGUAGAUCCAUGCGGCAAUGCGUUAGAUCUGGUUGUUGGUGCUAUGAAAAUUCUGCAGGAGAUCUGCAGGGAUAAUUACGUCGCUACAAGAAAUCAUGCGAAGAAUUUCGCGGUUGUUAUGGAUGGUAUACAGAGCAGG